RNAcentral lists this ribosomal RNA (253 nucleotides) under uncultured bacterium. RNAcentral's name for it is "partial 16S ribosomal RNA". It matches the Rfam family "Bacterial small subunit ribosomal RNA", at positions 524 to 776 of the family's 1533-position model. The record is from RNAcentral.
UACGUAGGGUGCGAGCGUUAAUCGGAAUUACUGGGCGUAAAGCGUGCGCGGGCGGUUUUGUAAGCCAGAUGUGAAAUCCCCGGGCUUAACCUGGGAAUGGCAUUUGGGACUGCAAGGCUGGAGUGCGGCAGAGGAGACUGGAAUUCCUGGUGUAGCAGUGAAAUGCGUAGAUAUCAGGAGGAACACCGAUGGCGAAGGCAGGUCUCUGGGCUGACACUGACGCUCAUGCACGAAAGCGUGGGGAGCAAACAGG